GACGAACGCUGGCGGCGUGCCUAAUACAUGCAAGUAGAACGCUGAAGGAGGAGCUUGCUUCUCCGGAUGAGUUGCGAACGGGUGAGUAACGCGUAGGUAACCUGCCUGGUAGCGGGGGAUAACUAUUGGAAACGAUAGUUAAUACCGCAUAACAGUAGAUAUUGCAUGAUAUCUGCUUGAAAGGUGCAAUUGCAUCACUACCAGAUGGACCUGCGUUGUAUUAGCUAGUUGGUGAGGUAACGGCUCACCAAGGCGACGAUACAUAGCCGACCUGAGAGGGGGAUCGGCCACACUGGGACUGAGACACGGCCCAGACUCCUACGGGAGGCAGCAGUAGGGAAUCUUCGGCAAUGGACGGAAGUCUGACCGAGCAACGCCGCGUGAGUGAAGAAGGUUUUCGGAUCGUAAAGCUCGGUUGUAAGAGAAGAACGAGUGUGAGAGUGGAAAGUUCACACUGUGACGGUAUCUUACCAGAAAGGGACGGCUAACUACGUG
Molecule: ribosomal RNA, 495 nt
Filed under: uncultured bacterium
Lineage: Bacteria
Description: partial 16S ribosomal RNA
Rfam family: Bacterial small subunit ribosomal RNA
Source: RNAcentral